AGAUGUCUGGGGAAUUGGGGCCUAUGGAUACUACUGAACCUGGAGUAUCUUCAGGAGCAGAUCCCACUUGGGCUGCUUGGAGAAGGGAGGAUAGUUCUUUAAGUGUGCAUGGGGUUGAGUGUGGGCAGGAUGAUUGGAACUCCGAUGAGCAAUUAGGCACUCCUGAUCCACGAGCUCUAGCUGUGUGGAGUUCUGAUUCUGAGUAAGAUCUGGGACACCUGUUGUUUGGGUGUGAGUGUUUGGUCACCCAAGAGGAAGGGGAAUAAAUUGGGAAUGUUUGGUCACUUCACUUUGCGUGUGGCAAGGUGUUGCUGAAGCGCCAUUGGGAUUUCUGUUCAUUCAAGAAGACUGGACUGGGACUUUGCUUCUGAUCUGCUGUUACCAUCGUUGCCUUGGCUCUUUGUGCCAUUUCGUGGACCUGGUUUUGAUGACUGCACCCUUUUGGACCCUGGAUUGUAACUCGACCUUGCUUCUGCCUUCGCCCUUUGAUGGAUGACUACUCACGGCUCUUGACCACUGACCUGCCCUCCUGACCUUGCUGCUGUCUCCUGCCCUGACCCUGGAUCACCCUGACGACGCCUCUUCGCCUUUCCUUUGGAGCUCCUGGCAUUAUCUGCAUCAUAGAAGCAGUUUGCUACAGUUCUAGUUUGUUUGUUCUCAGACCAGUUUGGUGAUUCUUUUUGGAACUGCUCCUUUAAUUCCACAGAGCCGGCUGGCUGCAACAGUAAGGGCUUGGACCCAAAGUGCCUUUUGCACCGGCUCUAAGUUUGUUUUUCCUGGGCUUUAUUUUCCUGUUCUGGAUUUAAGCUACUAUUGUAGCUCUUGGAAGGUUUUUGGAAGGUUCCAAGUCCUUGUUUGUUUUGUCUAUUUUUAUAAGCCAACUCAAAUUUGUUUUUGAAGCUGAAUUGAAGCAUCUUUUUAGUUUUAUCUAAAUACUUGCAUGGAUAAUCCAGUUGGCUUGCUAAAACAUACUUUUGUUAUAUAUUUUUGUUUGGACUGCUUUUUAAACACUGAUAGUUAAGUGUUUAAAGCUAUCUUCUGUGUUUAUGUUUACUUUUUGGCCUAUCUCCUGAAUAAACUCUGUUUUGUUUGUUAA
Long non-coding RNA from Anolis carolinensis (green anole), 1096 nucleotides. RefSeq lists it as uncharacterized. NCBI's taxonomy places the organism in Eukaryota, Metazoa, Chordata, Lepidosauria, Squamata, Anolidae. The transcript has 2 exons. The record is from RefSeq and is a predicted model, not a curated record.